GACUCGCUAACAUGUUCACCACUACAGUACACUAGUGAAUGGUGUGCUUUGUCAAUUUUUACUGCCAGGCCUCAUCUUUUUAGCGUGUCCCUCUGACAGUAAAUUGAACCACACUUCAACCCCUGUUCUUACUCUUCACCGAGUGGGCAGAGGAAGAGCCUUGAUUGGAAAGGACAGACGGCAUUUUGGAGAAAAGAAUGUACAGCUGCUUACGUAAGCGACGGACGGCAUGUUGUUUAUUUUCACCACAUUUCUGCAAAUCAUAUGCUCCCUUUCAAGGGCUUGUGUGUGCCCUGUCUUCAUGUUCCUCUUUUGCAAGGUUGUACAGAGAAGACAAUCUACUGUUGUUUUGGGUAGAAAUACUCGGAAUACCGAGGACAAAAACCUCAGUGUUCCUCCCAGUUACAUCAUAUUAAUUCUUAUGUGAUGUGGAAACUUGACUUUAAACGAAUGGCUCCAACUUCCGGAGACAAAUUCCUUGUGUUUCUGACGUACUUGGCAAAUAAAGGGCCCGAGGGAACACGGUGAUUGGGUGAAUGGAGCUGCUCUCAGUGGAGUAUGCGCCGUCUGUCACUAUCCUUGUGGCAGCAGAGUGGGAUGGAAUAAAGCUCCCCAAACGGAGCUAUUAAAGGCUAUUUUCAUCCCUGCACGUCUGUUUCUGUGGGCUUGUGCUCCAUAUAUAGAGCUGCCACCGGUGAUGCUAAUGAAACGCGUCCCCGUUUUCACCAGUUUAAAUCUACUUAUGUCAUCCUCUUCCUUGCAUCAACAAGGAGUCAGCCGUACCUGACCAUCUGGGCUUAGGCCUUAUGGUUGUCUUACAACAAACAGAAAGGUGCACUCUUAGACACUAGCUGGUAUUGAAAUUGUGUCAGUUCCUUUGGAAAUGAUGGCCCCAAAAAAUCCAAGAAAAACACAAUGGGUGUGAUUUACAAAACAAAGUCCCGGCCCGGGUCCUGUCAUUCCAGUGCAUAAUGCAGGGAGGUGACACGGACCUUAACCACUUUGUGUAACGAGCCAGCCACAAACAGAGCACAAAUUCAUGUGGCAGAUGCUGCACCUGCUGAUAUUAGAAGAAUUCAAUGACGGCACUAUUCACCUUGUCUUGCUGAAUGGAAUGAACAAAAUGCAUGAAAGGGAAGGUCUCUAUGAUCUGGAGUUUACAUAAUUGCUUAAAAGACAAAACUGUGAAUGGGUUGGAGUGUUGUGCAACCUGUUCUGUUAUACAGCAUUUUACAAAACUACACACCCCAAUUCCAAUGAAGUGAAGAUGUUGUUGUGUAAUGUGCAAAUAAAAAGAAUAUAAUGAUUUGGUGAUCCUUUACAGCCUCUAUUCCAAAAUUAUAAUUACCAUGAUCUUCUGGUCAGGAUCUGGAUCAAGGUGCCUACAGUAUAGAGGAAUUAAUUUUCAGUGUGUGGCAUCACUGCAACCAUCCAGAGAAUGAUGUCACUGCUGGUCACUUCGUUAUCCUCUAUCAACAAGGAAGUAGCCUGUUACCUAUUAUCACUUUUAACAGUUUUGCCUCAGUAAAUGUCUGUACGUUACAAUGCAACUUUGAUAUGGAGAUUCUAGUUGUAAUAAUAAUAUAAUACAAGAGGUUUACAAUGAAAUUCCAUUUCUAUGGUGGCAAUAUAACCCGAUUUUUUAUGCAACCUGGCACGUACCAUACUCCAUUACUAACCUGUGCUAACACAGUAUCUUUGUACGAAAAACAUUUCAUUUCAGUCUUAAAUACUCAACAAUCAAAAACCGUAAGUUUGUAGCUGAGCGUGUCUUCUUGUGUCACAUGACUGCGUUAUUAAAUUUCUGUACAAACUAGUUCAUUGCUCUUAGUUCACAACCCCAAAACCUCCAAACGCUGUAUGUCAUUACUGUCAUAAACCUAAGUCCCCCUGUAUCAUAUUGCUAAAAUUACAAGUUCAAAACCACA
Syngnathoides biaculeatus (alligator pipefish) is the source of this 1928-nucleotide long non-coding RNA. RefSeq lists it as uncharacterized. Lineage: Eukaryota; Metazoa; Chordata; Actinopteri; Syngnathiformes; Syngnathidae. The record is from RefSeq and is a predicted model, not a curated record. The transcript is spliced from 3 exons.